UACGAAGGGGGCUAGCGUUGCUCGGAAUCACUGGGCGUAAAGCGCACGUAGGCGGCUUUUUAAGUCAGGGGUGAAAUCCUGGAGCUCAACUCCAGAACUGCCUUUGAUACUGAGAGGCUUGAGUCCGGGAGAGGUGAGUGGAACUGCGGGUGUAGAGGUGAAAUUCGUAGAUAUCGGGAGGAACACCAAUGGCGAAGGCAGCUUGCUGGGACGGUACUGACGCUGAGGCGCGAAAGCGUGGGGAGCAAACAGG
This 253-nucleotide ribosomal RNA is filed under the name uncultured bacterium. RNAcentral's name for it is "partial 16S ribosomal RNA". It matches the Rfam family "Bacterial small subunit ribosomal RNA", at positions 524 to 776 of the family's 1533-position model. The record is from RNAcentral.